RNAcentral lists this ribosomal RNA (660 nucleotides) under uncultured bacterium. Its description in RNAcentral is "bacterial SSU rRNA". It matches the Rfam family "Bacterial small subunit ribosomal RNA", at positions 93 to 740 of the family's 1533-position model. The record is from RNAcentral.
CAGUGGCGAACGGGUGCGUAACACGUGGGCAAUCUGCCGAGAAGUGGGGGAUAGCUCGCCGAAAGGCGAAUUAAUACCGCAUGUGAUCAGGGGAGACAUCUUCCCGAAAUCAAAGGUGGCGCAAGCUACCGCUUUUUGAGGAGCCCGCGGCCUAUCAGCUUGUUGGUGAGGUAAUGGCUCACCAAGGCGUUGACGGGUAGCUGGUCUGAGAGGACGACCAGUCACACUGGGACUGAGACACGGCCCAGACACCUACGGGUGGCAGCAGUCGAGAAUUUUUCUCAAUGGGGGAAACCCUGAAGGAGCGACGCCGCGUGGAGGAUGAAGGUCUUCGGGUUGUAAACUCCUGUCAUUUGGGAACAAGGUGCGCGCCUUAACUGCGCGCGCAUUGAUAGUACCAGAAGAGGAAGAGACGGCUAACUCUGUGCCAGCAGCCGCGGUAAUACAGAGGUCUCAAGCGUUGUUCGGAUUCAUUGGGCGUAAAGGGUGCGUAGGUGGCGCGGUAAGUCGGGUGUGAAAUUUCGGAGCUUAACUCCGAAACUGCAUUCGAUACUGCCGUGCUUGAGGACUGGAGAGGAGACUGGAAUUUACGGUGUAGCAGUGAAAUGCGUAGAUAUCGUAAGGAAGACCAGUGGCGAAGGCGGGUCUCUGGACAGUUCC